Ctenopharyngodon idella (grass carp) is the source of this 1298-nucleotide long non-coding RNA. RefSeq lists it as uncharacterized. The transcript is spliced from 2 exons. The record is from RefSeq and is a predicted model, not a curated record. NCBI's taxonomy places the organism in Eukaryota, Metazoa, Chordata, Actinopteri, Cypriniformes, Xenocyprididae.
AUGGAGAACCUGAUUGAGAUACUCAACCAGUCUAACAUUGUCUAAACUUUAUCAGAUUUUUUUUUUUUUUUUUCUUUCUUCUUCUGUCAUUUGUGAAGAAUUUAUGCUCUGGUAUGAUUUCCAUUAAUUUAAUAACUUUAUAUGUCUUUCAAUAGCUGUUUAGAUCUGUACAUACAUAGAACAGAGAGGUAGUGUUGUUUACUCAUGUAUUCAAUAACUUGGGUAUGAAAGUUUGCAUAAAGAUUGCAUUUUAUCUUUUUAGUAAUAGCUGUAUUGCAGGAAAAUGUUCCGUUGGAAACAAAUUUCAUAUACUAUUUCAUACACAAAAGCUAUGUCACAGUGCAAUAAACUUGAUUGUUUGAUUUGUUAAAUACAGUUACUGAUUUUAAUGUUUUGAUAUUUUAUUAAAUGUUUCUUUGUUUCUAAUUUUUAAUAUGAUAACCUGAGAUACUAUUUUCUCAUUUCAUAGGCCCUGUAUAGCUGCACGACUGUGUGUACAAUAGAGUAACUGCACGAUUGAGUUAUUAUAAUAAUUAUAAUGUUGUAGUGAUUUUUGUUUAUCAUGCCAGCUACUGUUGUACUGUUUUUCUGUUUACUGUGUUAUUUGUAUACCAGUUGUGUGUUUGCCACCCCUGUAAGUGUGUAUCGUGUGGUUUUCUCAGCAUCUCCUUACUUAAUUGCGGUAUUUGCCAUUCGCCAGUUGUGUAUUUACUUGCCUAUUUAUUACUUGGCUUGUAUGUAUGCAGUUAAGCACUUUAAUUGUAACUCAAACUUUACAUUUAAGAAUAUUCAAUUGUUUCUACACUUUCACCUUUUUACACACUUUUCGUUUAUCAUAUGUAUUCAAAUUUUCAGUCGAGAUUGCAAAGCUAUUUUUGCAGGGUUAACUGUCAGCAUUUUUCUCUUAACUACACUAGUGCUCAUGGAAAACUGCUCUUAUUAUUACGACGAAAUAUAUUUAGUUUGUUACUGUCCCACUUUGUUUUAGAACCUGUACGAGUAUAUAGCUGGAAAAAAAACCUGUUGGAUUAGAUAUCUGAACAUAAGGUUAAUGCCUAUUUAUUCUGUUGCACUGUGUGUAUUCUAUGUAAAAAAAAAAAAAAAAAAAAAAAAAAACUUUUGGCCUACUAUGUUUGUCAGUAUUCAAUAAAUGUUUUAUUUUGGUAAAUUUCAAAUUUUGUUCAGCAAAUGAAUCAUUUUUAGAGCCACAUACCUAGUCACCAGUGAAGCCACCAGUAAGCUGGUGAAAUGCACCAUUUGGAGUGGGCUAAAACAUUAAAAUGUGCUAUUUACCUUAA